Molecule: non-coding RNA, 2672 nt
Organism: Lolium perenne
Lineage: Eukaryota; Viridiplantae; Streptophyta; Magnoliopsida; Poales; Poaceae
Source: RefSeq, a predicted model, not a curated record
UCAUUUGAUUGCUUCUGUUUCAGUAGUUCAUCGAUCUCUUGAUGCUCCAAUAGCAGAGCUUGGUGUCGCAUUAUUUGUGGUUGAGCUUUUCUUUUCUUUGGGAUCUUCGAUACCAGGUUUUGUUACUUUUGUUCUAAUUUAUAUUUCUGAAGUUUAUAUUACAAGUAUGGUCAGGUACAGAAAGUAAAUGAGAGUUUCAUUUUCGUAGAUAUCAUGAAUUACAAUCCAGCAAUUUAAUCAUUAGGAUUCGUGAAUCAUGGCCGCUAUUUUGUACAAAUUUUGCAUGCUCCAGUUUAUGGAUAGCCCUCUGAGAACUUCUUUGUCUUGUUUUUAUUUUUCAGGGGUACAAAAAGAAUUGGAAUGAAUGAUUAUAUUCAGACACGACCCUUCAAAGUUAUGGAUAUUCCUACAGUCGACGCCUGCUGAUCUACAUGAUUUGGAAGGUCCAUAUGAGCUCCUCCUUCUGGUGAUGUUAGGCAGUGAGGUGAUUGGAAAGAUCUUGCUUGUCUCUCCACAUCUGGUGACCCAUACCUAACUGAAGAUCCUACGUCCCUUCAAAGCUAUGGAUAUUCCUACAGGUAAAUGAUCGCCCUAAUACAUUCACUUCGGCUACAAUGCAGCUAGCAGCACAAAUUUAUUUAUCAACCAGUGAACCUACUGCUUAUGCAAUUGAACAAAUGGAUGAGCUUACAUGUCGAUAGGGUUGCUUGUAUGUGCAUUUCUCCUGUAUAAGUUUGCUGCAGCUAUUUGAUAUACAAAAAUUCAGAGAAUGCUUCAGGUUAUGAGCAUCAGUGCAAUUAUUCCCGGGCAAACUUCAGCAGCUAGGUUCAGAGCAUGCUUCAACUCAUGAAUGUUAUCUGGAUGUUUGUUAUAUAUAACUUGAUAUGUCUUUGAUUUUAUACCUCAUGACUAGGAAUAUCAUCUGUCAUUUAGGUGAUGCUUCAGUUCAGGCAUGGCCAUAAGAAUUUGGAUGCCGUCAUAGGACUGCAGCUCCAUUUUGGUGAUAUUUUGAUUUUGUAUCUGUUGUACAAAAUUUCUACUCACAAAGAUAAUUCGGUGGUUUAUUAUUUAUAGCUUUAGGCAAUGGAAGCAGAUCACGCUAUAGAUGUCUUUGAUUUCUACUCACGCUGUAGAUGAUGAAAAUAGUUCUAUCUUUUUGGGUGUCCCAUGCCGAUGUUCGAACCUCACUAUGGCAUUUGGAGAUAAAAUCUUGGAUUGAUUUGCUAUGAAGGGAUAUAAUUGAGUAUUCUCCUGUGCAUAUAUUUAUCUAGCACUUCGAGUUGCUGCCUUCCACGCAACCUUGUGUUUUUCUAUUUCAGAGAUUUGCUGAGUAAGAAGAAAAGAUAAUGUUGUUCUGUAGAUCCUAAUUUUUCGUUCAUCACAUAUUGCCUUUUCUUUUAGCAUGAACAUUGCUUAGUUGCACUCUCAGCAUUGCCGAACAGGCCUUUCCACUAUUCAAGUAAAUGUGGUCAAAAGAUUUAUCUACUAUUUUAGGGACAACUCCCUUGGGAAGGUUACAAGGAUGCCUUAUGUUUAAGUUCCUAAUGGAAUGUUGCGUUUUCCGUGAUCCCACCAUUUGUACAGAGCCAUUUUUCCCUCAAGGUACAAUAAAGAGUUAGAGAGAUUGUUGUAUUUGGAUGUUCUUUAUGAAAAUUCAAAAAUAGUUUCCUGCACACCACUUUAUUUUUCUAUAUUCUCUCCUAAUUUAUUCAUGUACAUCAGUAUGAUUUUAAAUGCUAUCUCCUAAAUAUUUCAGUCUCUUGGGUUCCUACAUUUGUGUCCAGAUCUAUGUAACUAUAGACUACACACGAGUGGUGAACUUAAGUAUUGAGCGAGGGAAGAAAAUGUCACCAAGGUAACAUACUGAAACGGUUGAGGGCUGGUUUCUGAGAAAUUUACCGUUUACUACUCUCCUAAAAAGGCAUGUACUAACAUUCAGGGAGUAAGAUACAAUUAUGAACAAGCAACGCCCCUUCAGUUUAAGCAAUAAUUUAAUUUAAUUAGGUUGAAUUCAAUGUGUAAUUUUAUUCCCCAGUAUAUCUAUGAUAUGCUAUUUGUAUAGAGUUUUCUUCUUUCGAAAACGGAAGUCCCAUCAUUUGCUUGCAUAUUUGUUUGCCCACAACCAAAAUAUGGCUUUAUUAAACUGAACAUUCUUUAACUUUUGUGCUACAGCUGAGAGCAGGUAUUAUUCCCUCAUCAAGCAUGUGAUUCAAUCUAUUUGAUGUUAUCAAGUGAUGUCAUAUUGCUGAGAAUUACUGCAUUAUUCAAUCUAUUAGCAACAUUCAUGUACUAUUAUUUUGCCAAUGGUUUACCUUAACUGUCUAUUCCUAGAUUGACUUAGUGUUCUGACUUAUGACAACUUAUGGCUUCCAAGAUUACUUCAGCCCAGUACAUUAUAUCGAUGCAACAGUUAAAGGAAGAGGCCUACCACUAUAACUUCGAUGGGCAUCCUACAGAUUACGAGGUUUGAUCAUCGUUACCUGAACUAUCACUACUUCUUGUGUGUCACUACCUCUAGUGUCUGUUUUGAGUAUUGAUCUCUGAUCAUGGAGUCAUUGUGUUUGAACAGCUCUGCUUUAAACCUGAAUGGUACCCCCUCCCUGUGUUUAGCUAUUGUAAUCUCUGAACAAUGUGUUCAUGUACCUAUUGUAAUAUAUUUCCCUAUUUUCUCA